GAGUUUGAUCUUGGCUCAGAUUGAACGCUGGCGGCAUGCCUUACGCAUGCAAGUCGAACGGCAGCACGGGAGCUUGCUCCUGGUGGCGAGUGGCGAACGGGUGAGUAAUGCAUCGGAACGUAUCCUGGAGUGGGGGAUAACGUAGCGAAAGUUACGCUAAUACCGCAUAUUCUGUGAGCAGGAAAGCGGGGGACCUUCGGGCCUCGCGCUCUUGGAGCGGCCGAUGUCGGAUUAGCUAGUUGGUGAGGUAAAGGCUCACCAAGGCGACGAUCCGUAGCAGGUCUGAGAGGAUGAUCUGCCACACUGGAACUGAGACACGGUCCAGACUCCUACGGGAGGCAGCAGUGGGGAAUUUUGGACAAUGGGGGCAACCCUGAUCCAGCCAUGCCGCGUGAGUGAAGAAGGCCUCGGUUGUAAGUAC
RNAcentral lists this ribosomal RNA (421 nucleotides) under bacterium enrichment culture clone ALO1_GLFRUDD03GDV7S. Its description in RNAcentral is "bacterial SSU rRNA". It matches the Rfam family "Bacterial small subunit ribosomal RNA", at positions 9 to 431 of the family's 1533-position model. The record is from RNAcentral.